Molecule: ribosomal RNA, 468 nt
Filed under: uncultured bacterium
Lineage: Bacteria
Description: partial 16S ribosomal RNA
Rfam family: Bacterial small subunit ribosomal RNA
Source: RNAcentral
GACGAACGCUGGCGGCGUGCUUAACACAUGCAAGUCGAACGGAAAGGCCCUGCUUUUGUGGGGUGCUCGAGUGGCGAACGGGUGAGUAACACGUGAGUAACCUGCCCUUGACUUUGGGAUAACUUCAGGAAACUGGGGCUAAUACCGGAUAGGAGCUCCUGCUGCAUGGUGGGGGUUGGAAAGUUUCGGCGGUUGGGGAUGGACUCGCGGCUUAUCAGCUUGUUGGUGGGGUAGUGGCUUACCAAGGCUUUGACGGGUAGCCGGCCUGAGAGGGUGACCGGCAACAUGGGGACUGAGAGACGGCCCAGACUCCUACGGGAGGAAGAAGGGGGGAAUAUGGCACAAUGGGCGGAAGCCUGAUGCAGCACCGCCGCGUGGGGGAGGACGGCCUGCGGGUUGUAAACCGCUUUCGCCGGUGACGAAGCGUGAGUGACGGUAAUGGGUAAAGAAGCACCGGCUAACUACGUG